RNAcentral lists this ribosomal RNA (937 nucleotides) under Halomonas caseinilytica. RNAcentral's name for it is "bacterial SSU rRNA". It matches the Rfam family "Bacterial small subunit ribosomal RNA", at positions 56 to 991 of the family's 1533-position model. Lineage: Bacteria; Pseudomonadati; Pseudomonadota; Gammaproteobacteria; Oceanospirillales; Halomonadaceae. The record is from RNAcentral.
UGCAAGUCGAGCGGAACGAUCCCAGCUUGCUGGGAGGCGUCGAGCGGCGGACGGGUGAGUAAUGCAUAGGAAUCUGCCCGAUAGUGGGGGAUAACCUGAGGAAACUCAGGCUAAUACCGCAUACGUCCUACGGGAGAAAGCAGGGGCUCUUCGGACCUUGCGCUAUCGGAUGAGCUUAUGUCGGAUUAGCUGGUUGGUGAGGUAACGGCUCACCAAGGCGACGAUCCGUAGCUGGUCUGAGAGGAUGAUCAGCCACAUCGGGACUGAGACACGGCCCGAACUCCUACGGGAGGCAGCAGUGGGGAAUAUUGGACAAUGGGGGCAACCCUGAUCCAGCCAUGCCGCGUGUGUGAAGAAGGCCCUCGGGUUGUAAAGCACUUUCAGUGAGGAAGAAUGCUUGUCGGUUAAUACCCGGCAAGGGAGACAUCACUCACAGAAGAAGCACCGGCUAACUCCGUGCCAGCAGCCGCGGUAAUACGGAGGGUGCGAGCGUUAAUCGGAAUUACUGGGCGUAAAGCGCGCGUAGGCGGCUUGAUAAGCCGGUUGUGAAAGCCCCGGGCUCAACCUGGGAACGGCAUCCGGAACUGUCAGGCUAGAGUGCAGGAGAGGAAGGUAGAAUUCCCGGUGUAGCGGUGAAAUGCGUAGAGAUCGGGAGGAAUACCAGUGGCGAAGGCGGCCUUCUGGACUGACACUGACGCUGAGGUGCGAAAGCGUGGGUAGCAAACAGGAUUAGAUACCCUGGUAGUCCACGCCGUAAACGAUGUCGACUAGCCGUUGGGGUCCUCGAGACCUUUGUGGCGCAGUUAACGCACUAAGUCGACCGCCUGGGGAGUACGGCCGCAAGGUUAAACUCAAUGAAUUGACGGGGGCCGCACAGCGGUGGAGCAUGGUGGUUUAAUUCGAUGCACGCGAGACCUUACCUACCCUUGACAUCGUG